ACUUGAGGCGCACGCCUGUAGUCCCAGCUACUCUGGAGGCUGAGACAGGGCGGAUCGCUUGAGUCCAGGAGUUCCGGGUUAUAAUGCGCUAUGCCGAUCGGGUGUCCGCACGAAGUUCGGCAUCAAUAUGGUGACCUUCCGGAAGCGGGGGACCACCAGGUUGCCUAAGGAGGGGCGAACCGGUCCAGGUAGGAAACCGAGCAGGUCAAAACUCCCGUGCUGAUCAGUAGUGGGAUCGCGCCGACAACUGUUUAUGAAACUCUCUUUAGGGUUCUGCAGAAUACAUGGUUUCCUUCUCUU
This is an unclassified non-coding RNA of Rattus norvegicus (Norway rat), 300 nucleotides long. Ensembl annotates it as Metazoan signal recognition particle RNA. The record is from Ensembl. Lineage: Eukaryota; Metazoa; Chordata; Mammalia; Rodentia; Muridae.